CCUACGGGAGGCUGCAGUGGGGAAUAUUGCACAAUGGGCGCAAGCCUGAUGCAGCCAUGCCGCGUGUGUGAAGAAGGCCUUCGGGUUGUAAAGCACUUUCAGCGGGGAGGAAGGCGUUAAGGUUAAUAACCUUGGCGAUUGACGUUACCCGCAGAAGAAGCACCGGCUAACUCCGUGCCAGCAGCCGCGGUAAUACGGAGGGUGCAAGCGUUAAUCGGAAUUACUGGGCGUAAAGCGCACGCAGGCGGUCUGUCAAGUCGGAUGUGAAAUCCCCGGGCUCAACCUGGGAACUACAUUCGAAACUGGCAGGCUAGAGUCUUGUAGAGGGGGGUAGAAUUCCAGGUGUAGCGGUGAAAUGCGUAGAGAUCUGGAGGAAUACCGGUGGCGAAGGCGGCCCCCUGGACAAAGACUGACGCUCAGGUGCGAAAGCGUGGGGAGCAAACAGGAUUAGAUACCCGUGUAGUC
Molecule: ribosomal RNA, 465 nt
Filed under: uncultured Klebsiella sp.
Lineage: Bacteria; Pseudomonadati; Pseudomonadota; Gammaproteobacteria; Enterobacterales; Enterobacteriaceae
Description: bacterial SSU rRNA
Rfam family: Bacterial small subunit ribosomal RNA
Source: RNAcentral